GACGAACGCUGGCGGCGUGCCUAACACAUGCAAGUCGAGCGAUGAACCGAUCUUCGGAUGGGUGAUUAGCGGCGGACGGGUGAGUAACGCGUGAGCAACCUGCCUUGUACAGCGGGAUAACAGGUGGAAACAUUUGCUAAUACCGCAUAAUGAGUAAUAGAUGCAAUCUGUUACUUUAAAGGAGCAAUCCGGUACAAGAUGGGCUCGCGUCCCAUUAGCUUGUUGGUGAGGUAAUAGCUCACCAAGGCGACGAUGGGUAGCCGACCUGAGAGGGUGAUCGGCCACACUGGGACUGAGACACGGCCCAGACUCCUACGGGAGGCAGCAGUGGGGAAUAUUGCGCAAUGGGGGGAACCCUGACGCAGCAACGCCGCGUGAGCGAAGAAGGCUUUCGGGUCGUAAAGCUCUGUCUUUGGGGACGAAGGAAGUGACGGUACCCAAGGAGGAAGCCCCGGCUAACUACGUGCCAGCAGCCGCGGUAAUACGUAGGGGGCGAGCGUUGUCCGGAAUUACUGGGCGUAAAGGAUGCGUAGGCGGCGAUGCAAGUCAGAUGUGAAAUACCACGGCUUAACCGUGGGGUUGCAUAUGAAACUGUAUGGCUUGAGUACAGGAGAGGAAAGUGGAAUUCCUAGUGUAGCGGUGAAAUGCGUAGAGAUUAGGAGGAACACCAGUGGCGAAGGCGACUUUCUGGACUGUAACUGACGCUGAGGCAUGAAAGCGUGGUUAGCGAACAGGAUUAGAUACCCUGGUAGUCCACGCCGUAAACGAUGGAUACUAGGUGUAGGGGGUAUCGACCCCCCCUGUGCCGGAGUUAACGCAAUAAGUAUCCCGCCUGGGGAGUACGGCCGCAAGGCUGAAACUCAAAGGAAUUGACGGGGGCCCGCACAAGCAGCGGAGCAUGUGGUUUAAUUCGAAGCAACGCGAAGAACCUUACCAGGGCUUGACAUCCCGAUGACGUACCUAGAGAUAGGUAUUCCCUUUGGGGCAUUGGAGACAGGUGGUGCAUGGUUGUCGUCAGCUCGUGUCGUGAGAUGUUGGGUUAAGUCCCGCAACGAGCGCAACCCCUAUUUUUAGUUGCUAACAGGUGAAGCUGAGCACUCUAGAGAGACUGCCGGGGAUAACUCGGAGGAAGGUGGGGACGACGUCAAAUCAUCAUGCCCCUUAUGUCCUGGGCUACACACGUGCUACAAUGGCCUGAAACAGCGGGAAGCGAAGCCGCAAGGUGGAGCGAAUCCGACAAACCAGGUCUCAGUUCGGAUUGUGGGCUGCAACUCGCCCACAUGAAGUUGGAGUUGCUAGUAAUCGCGAAUCAGCAUGUCGCGGUGAAUGCGUUCCCGGGCCUUGUACACACCGCCCGUCACACCAUGGAAGUUGGGAGCACCCGAAGCCAGUGAAUUAACCCGGCAUUCAACUGACUAUAUAUGCAAUGGCAUAGUAGUGAGUUGAGUGUCGGGAGAGAGCUGUCGAAGGUGAAACCGAUGACUAGGGUG
RNAcentral lists this ribosomal RNA (1490 nucleotides) under uncultured bacterium. Its description in RNAcentral is "bacterial SSU rRNA". It matches the Rfam family "Bacterial small subunit ribosomal RNA". The record is from RNAcentral.